CCUCCACUCCCUGGUGUCUACUCCGAGUCCUCCUGCUUAUAAAGGAAAAUCUACGGCAAGCCCUCGCGUGGGUCCCAAACAGAACUUGUUUGCAAAACGGUCCACACAGCGUCAGCCUGGCCCCAUGGAGACACCGGGCCCUUCAGAAUCUGUGAGUUCUGCUUCUGACUCCUGGUGCCACAGCGAUGCCUCCCAGAGUCAAGAGUGUGUCUGUCUUCAACUCCCAGUAGGUUCUUCACAUCCUAAAGCAACCGGGUCAACAACCCCAUGACCAGCACCAGCUGUGGCGUGUGUGGACAAGGUCAUCAGUUCUGUGAAGGAGAAGAUCUUCGAACGGAGGGCGUCCACCUGUCUGGAAAGUGAUGGUGAGUACUUCAUCACCGAUCUGAGAUGUGUCCUCACAGGGGAGAUGCCAACUCCUAGGGUUCUGCUCGUGCCGGGGGAGGGGCGCUGGCAACCUUGGGGGGGGGCAGAUUAGUAUCUCUCACACUUCCAGCAGCCACCAUUCGUGGACUUCCAACUCAGUAUGAGGCAUUUUAAGUGCUUGUGACUCCUAAAGUCACCGCCAUCCUGCUGGAUUGAUGGGACUGCCCGUACCUUUCCAUGUGAGCACGCUGAAUUUGUCCAAAGCCAUGACGUCUAAGCUCGCGGAGGCAGCGGGAUUUGAGCUCAGGCUGUAUGCUUCGGGAGCCGCGUUCCGGGGGAGAGUCAUUGGAGAGCCCCGAGAGCCCGCACUGACCAGGAGACAGGAAGAGCUGGUUCUGACUCUGGCACCCCCAGCCCAGCUCCAUGAUCUCUGAGAAGUUACUGGGCCAGUCUGCCUGGCUUUCUUCUUAUCCUGUCUACAUCACAGGGUUUUUACAGGCAUGAAGUGUGUGGGAAAGUGCUGGAAAACGGACAGGGCUGCUCACAUGUGAGCCUCACAGCCCUGUGGAGUGAUCAGAGCAAUGACGGACCAUCCCCAUUCUAUACUGGACGGAGCUGUGGCUCAGAGAGGUCCCAGAACCUACCUGACACUCAUCAGCAUAGAUCCCGUCUCCUUGAGUCUGGCACAUUCUCCACUCUCCCUCCUGCUCUUGCUAUGUACUGGGGUCUUGGCUCCCUAAUUUUGGGUGUCCUCACCUUCUCUGGCAUUGUUACUUUUCCCUUCCCUCUACCCCGCCCUCCCAUAGCCUGGGUCCCAUCCCUCAAGCCUGGCUCUCAGCGGUCUGGUCACUAGUCCCUACCGAGGGCUACACUGGCCCGGCAUGAGGCGACUUCUUUCCUGGAGAAAUUUCAUUUGUCAAAGGGUAUGGAAAUUUCCAGAGUGUUCAAGGCCUGAGAUAGUUAUUCUCAAUCCUGGUUGCAUGUCAGACUCUCCUGGGAGAUCUUAAAAAUAUUCUGAGGCCCAGGGCCCACACCCAGACAUUCCGAUUUCAUCGCUCUAGGGACCAGGAACAAGCAUGUCUGAAGAACUCCCUGGACAUCGGGAAUAUGCAGUCAGGGUAUGGGUGGAAGUAGCUGAUCUUACUUUGAAAGUGUUCGUGUCUUAGCCCAGGAGAUUGCUUUCGAAUGUAUUUUAGCUUCAACUUCAUUUUUACCAGUGUCUUUAAUAUUUAAGUAAAGAAAGCAAGGUUCUUUCUCUCAUCCUU
Long non-coding RNA from Enhydra lutris kenyoni (northern sea otter), 1631 nucleotides. RefSeq lists it as uncharacterized. NCBI's taxonomy places the organism in Eukaryota, Metazoa, Chordata, Mammalia, Carnivora, Mustelidae. The transcript is spliced from 2 exons. The record is from RefSeq and is a predicted model, not a curated record.